UACAGAGGGUGCAAGCGUUAAUCGGAAUUACUGGGCGUAAAGCGUGCGUAGACGGUUAUGUAAGUCGGGUGUGAAAGCCCCGGGCUCAACCUGGGAAUUGCAUUCGAGACUGUGUAGCUAGGGUACGGAAGAGGGAAGCGGAAUUUCAGGUGUAGCGGUGAAAUGCGUAGAUAUCUGAAGGAACACCGGUGGCGAAGGCGGCAUCCUGGACCAUGACUGACGCUGAGGAGCGAAAGCCAGGGGAGCAAACGGG
Molecule: ribosomal RNA, 253 nt
Filed under: uncultured bacterium
Lineage: Bacteria
Description: partial 16S ribosomal RNA
Rfam family: Bacterial small subunit ribosomal RNA
Source: RNAcentral